This 744-nucleotide long non-coding RNA is filed under the name Daphnia magna. RNAcentral's name for it is "uncharacterized LOC116924611, transcript variant X2". The record is from RNAcentral. Lineage: Eukaryota; Metazoa; Arthropoda; Branchiopoda; Diplostraca; Daphniidae.
CGGGAAUUGAUACGUGUCAUAUAGCGACUUAAGCAGGUCGGCAAAACGGAAAUAUCGAAUAACUGAUAACGUUCGAAGGGUUUGACUGAAGGAAAGAAAGAGAAAAAAUUGGUCUAAAUAAGAAUUAUCAAGAUAUACAACUCAUGGAAGAAGACAAAUUUCAUUUGUUUAACGUCGUACACGUGAGGUAACAACACGUGACUGGUCGAUUAAGUCACAGCUUUGAUCGGUUGAAAUGAACAGGACAAUGGCCACGAUCGUCGUAACAAUAUGAAUAACCAUGUUCCCACAUGAUAUUUGCUUGGAAAUGUGCCAAACAAACCACCCACUACAGUCUACAAGAGAUACAAGUGUGGGUAUAAAACACUCACCUUAAACCAAUGUCGAUGUCCUACAUUAUGCUCGGGUUGAUUUGCCAACACGUAAUGCCAGCUUUUAUGCUCAGCUAAAAUUCAGAAAACUAUUUAGGUUCAGUUAACUGCUCACUACUGUUGAUGUAACGCGAUGAAUUCACAAUAUGCAAGCAGACGACUUUUCAUGUAGAGAAUUUAGAGCGCUCUUAGCGGAGCGAAUGUUUUCAACAUUUUUAACACGGAAAGAAUUUCAUAAAAGCAAUUACCUAUCCUCAUUAUUGUAAUUCUAUGAUGAAAGAAAUAUAACAAGUCCAAAUACUAAAAGAAUAAUAAUACCUUUAGAUCAAAGGUGUGAAAAGGUAAUCUUCUUGAGAAAAAAAAAAAAUGGGGA